RNAcentral lists this unclassified non-coding RNA (340 nucleotides) under soil metagenome. RNAcentral's name for it is "partial contains 5.8S ribosomal RNA, internal transcribed spacer 2, and large subunit ribosomal RNA". The stretch from base 1 to 120 matches the Rfam family "5.8S ribosomal RNA", at positions 35 to 154 of the family's 154-position model. The record is from RNAcentral.
GAUGAAGAACGCAGUGAAAUGCGAUAAGUAGUGUGAAUUGCAGAAUUCAGUGAAUCAUCGAAUCUUUGAACGCACAUUGCGCCCUUUGGUAUUCCAAAGGGCAUGCCUGUUCGAGCGUCAUUUGUACCCUCAAGCUUUGCUUGGUGUUGGGCGUCUUGUCUCUAGCUUUGCUGGAGACUCGCCUUAAAGUAAUUGGCAGCCGGCCUACUGGUUUCGGAGCGCAGCACAAGUCGCACUCUCUAUCAGCAAAGGUCUAGCAUCCAUUAAGCCUUUUUUUCAACUUUUGACCUCGGAUCAGGUAGGGAUACCCGCUGAACUUAAGCAUAUAAUAAGCGGAGGA